CCUACGGGUGGCAGCAGUGGGGGAUAUUGCACAAUGGGCGAAACCCUGAUGCAGCGACGCCGCGUGUGGGAAGACGGUUUUCUGGAUUGUAAACCACUGUCCCCAGGGACGAAAAUGUCGGUACCUGGGGAGGAAACUCCGGCGUACUACGUGCCAGCAGCCGCGGUAAUACGUAGGGAGCAAGCGUUGUCCGGAAUUACUGGGUGUAAAGGGAGCGUAGGCGGUGAUGCAAGUUGGGGGCAAAAACUACCGGCUCAACCGAGAGUCGCAGUCAAAACUGCAGCUCGUGAGUGAAGGAGAGGCAGGCGGAAUGCCUGGUGUAGCGGUGAAAUGCGUAGAUAUUGGGAAGAACACCAGUGGCGAAGGCGGCCUGCUGGGCUUUUACUGACGCUGAGGCUCGAAAGUGUGGGGAGCAAACAGGAUUAGAUACCCCUGUAGUC
Molecule: ribosomal RNA, 440 nt
Filed under: uncultured bacterium
Lineage: Bacteria
Description: partial 16S ribosomal RNA
Rfam family: Bacterial small subunit ribosomal RNA
Source: RNAcentral